GACGAACGCUGGCGGCGUGCUUAACACAUGCAAGUCGAACGGAAAGACCCUGCUUUUGCUGGUCUCUCGAUUGCCGAACGCGUGAGUAACACGUGAGUAACCUGCCCUUGACUUUCUGAUAACUUCUGGAAACUGGGGCGCAUACCGGAUAUGAUCUCCUGCUGCAUGUUGGUGGUUGGAAAGUUUCGGCUUUUGUGUAUGUUCUCGCUGCUUAUCAGCUUGUUGGUGUGGUAGUGGCUUACCCAGGCUUUGACGGGUAGCGGGCCUGAGAGGGUGACAGGCGACAUUGAGACUGAGAGACGGCACAGACACCUACGGGAGGCAGAAGUGGGGAAGAUUGAAGAAUGGGCGGCGGCCUGAUGCAGAAACGCCGCGUGCGGGAUGACGGCGUUAGGGUUGUAAAACGAUUUCGUAUGUGACGAAGCGUGAGUGACGGUAAUGGGUACAGAAGCACAGGCUAAAUACGUGC
Molecule: ribosomal RNA, 469 nt
Filed under: uncultured bacterium
Lineage: Bacteria
Description: partial 16S ribosomal RNA
Rfam family: Bacterial small subunit ribosomal RNA
Source: RNAcentral